CAUGCGAGUCAUUGUAGCAAUACAAGGCAGACGGCUCAGUAACGCGUAGUCAAUCUACCCUGUUGACGGGGAUAACCUCGGGAAACUGAGAAUAAUACCCGAUAGAACAUUAUGCCUGGAAUGGUUUAUGUUUCAAAUGAUUUAUCGCAAUAGGAUGGGACUGCGGCCUAUCAGUUUGUUGGUGAGGUAAUGGCCCACCAAGACUAUUACAGGUACGGGCUCUGAGAGGAGUGGCCCGGAGAUGGGUACUGAGACACGGACCCAGGCCCUAUGGGGCGCAGCAGGCGAGAAAACUUUGCAAUGUGCGAAAGCACGACAAGGUUAAUCCGAGUGGUUUCUGCUAAAGAAACCUUUUGUCAGUCCUAGAAACACUGAUGAAUAAGGGGUGGGCAAGUUCUGGUGUCAGCCGCCGCGGUAAAACCAGCACCUCAAGUGGUCAGGAUGAUUAUUGGGCCUAAAGCAUCCGUAGCUUGUUUUGUAAGUUUUCGGUUAAAUCCAUACGCUUAACGUAUGGGCUGCCGGGAAUACUGCAUAACUAGGAAGUGGGAGAGGUAGACGGUACUCGGUAGGAAGGGGUAAAAUCCUUUGAUCUAUUGAUGACCACCUGUGGCGAAGGCGGUCUACCAGAACACGUUCGACGGUGAGGGAUGAAAGCUGGGGGAGCAAACCGGAUUAGAUACCCGGGUAGUCCCAGCUGUAAACUAUGCAAACUCAGUGAUGCAUUGGCUUGUGGCCAAUGCAGUGCUGCAGGGAAGCCGUUAAGUUUGCCGCCUGGGAAGUACGUACGCAAGUAUGAAACUUAAAGGAAUUGGCGGGGGAGCACCACAAGGGGUGAAGCCUGCGGUUCAAUUGGAGUCAAC
This 860-nucleotide ribosomal RNA is filed under the name uncultured archaeon. RNAcentral's name for it is "bacterial SSU rRNA". It matches the Rfam family "Archaeal small subunit ribosomal RNA", at positions 50 to 916 of the family's 1478-position model. The record is from RNAcentral.